RNAcentral lists this ribosomal RNA (168 nucleotides) under uncultured beta proteobacterium. Its description in RNAcentral is "partial 16S ribosomal RNA". It matches the Rfam family "Bacterial small subunit ribosomal RNA", at positions 357 to 526 of the family's 1533-position model. The record is from RNAcentral. Lineage: Bacteria; Pseudomonadati; Pseudomonadota; Betaproteobacteria.
CUGACUUGGCUUGGGGGACCCUGAUCCGCCUGCCGCGUGAGUGAAGAAGGCCUUCGGGUUGUAAAGCUCUUUCGGCGGGACGAAACCGCCGGUCCUAAUACAGGUGGCGAAUGAUGGUACCCGAAGAACAACCACCGGCUAACUACGUGCCAGCAGCCGCGGUAAUAA